GGAAUAUUGGACAAUGGGGGCAACCCUGAUCCAGCCAUGCCGCGUGUGUGAAGAAGGCCUUCGGGUUGUAAAGCACUUUAAGUGGGGAAAAAGGCUCGCUGGCUAAUAUCCAGCGGGAUUGAUACUACCCACAGAAUAAGCACCGGCUAACUCUGUGCCAGCAGCCGCGGUAAUACAGAGGGUGCAAGCGUUAAUCGGAAUUACUGGGCGUAAAGCGCGCGUAGGUGGUUUGUUAAGUCUGAUGUGAAAGCCCUGGGCUCAACCUGGGAAUUGCACUGGAUACUGGCAGGCUAGAGUGCGGUAGAGGAUGGCGGAAUUCCCGGUGUAGCAGUGAAAUGCGUAGAGAUCGGGAGGAACAUCUGUGGCGAAGGCGGCCAUCUGGACCAGCACUGACACUGAGGCACGAAAGCGUGGGGAGCAAA
RNAcentral lists this ribosomal RNA (422 nucleotides) under uncultured bacterium. Its description in RNAcentral is "bacterial SSU rRNA". It matches the Rfam family "Bacterial small subunit ribosomal RNA", at positions 358 to 772 of the family's 1533-position model. The record is from RNAcentral.